This 211-nucleotide ribosomal RNA is filed under the name uncultured bacterium. Its description in RNAcentral is "partial 16S ribosomal RNA". It matches the Rfam family "Bacterial small subunit ribosomal RNA", at positions 524 to 736 of the family's 1533-position model. The record is from RNAcentral.
GACGGGGGGGGCAAGUGUUCUUCGGAAUGACUGGGCGUAAAGGGCACGUAGGCGGUGAAUCGGGUUGAAAGUGAAAGUCGCCAAAAAGUGGCGGAAUGCUCUCGAAACCAAUUCACUUGAGUGAGACAGAGGAGAGUGGAAUUUCGUGUGUAGGGGUGAAAUCCGUAAAUAUACGAAGGAACGCCAAAAGCGAAGGCAGCUCUCUGGGUCC